GACGAACGCUGGCGGCGUGCUUAACACAUGCAAGUCGAACGGAAAGGCCCUGCUUUUGUGGGGUGCUCGAGUGGCGAACGGGUGAGUAACACGUGAGUAACCUGCCCUUGACUUUGGGAUAACUUCAGGAAACUGGGGCUAAUACCGGAUAGGAGCUCCUGCUGCAUGGUGGGGGUUGGAAAGUUUCGGCGGUUGGGGAUGGACUCGCGGCUUAUCAGCUUGUUGGUGGGGUAGUGGCUUACCAAGGCUUUGACGGGUAGCCGGCCUGAGAGGGUGACCGGCCACAUUGGGACUGCGAUACGGCCCAGACUCCUACGGGAGGCAGCAGUGGGGAAUAUUGCACAGUGGGCGGAAGCCUGAUGCAGCAACGCCGCGUGCGGGAUGACGGCCUUCGGGUUGUAAACCGCUUUCGCCUGUGACGAAGCGUGAGUGACGGUAACGGGUAAAGAAGCACCGGCUAACUACGUG
RNAcentral lists this ribosomal RNA (468 nucleotides) under uncultured bacterium. RNAcentral describes it as "partial 16S ribosomal RNA". It matches the Rfam family "Bacterial small subunit ribosomal RNA", at positions 28 to 507 of the family's 1533-position model. The record is from RNAcentral.